UAUCCAAUAAUUCUCCUUCAUAAGCUUCUUCAAGAAAUAGCUUGUCUUCUCUGUUGAGAUUUGAUAUUGAAUAAAAUUUCAAUCCGACAUCAUCAAUGUCUUCAACCAUUUCGUCCUCCCUCUCGUAUCUUGCUCGAGAUAGCAUGUCUGCUACUAAAUUGUCCUUUCCAGUGAUAUGCUUAAAUUCCGGAUUUAGUGACUUAAUAUAAGCAAUCCAUCUCAACAUUGCAAUAUCUGGCGUUGAACAGUUAAUAAUCAUU
RNAcentral lists this long non-coding RNA (260 nucleotides) under Physcomitrium patens. RNAcentral's name for it is "long non-coding RNA (PPAT_LNC013019)". The record is from RNAcentral. Lineage: Eukaryota; Viridiplantae; Streptophyta; Bryopsida; Funariales; Funariaceae.